This 250-nucleotide unclassified non-coding RNA is filed under the name fungal sp. RNAcentral describes it as "partial contains small subunit ribosomal RNA, internal transcribed spacer 1, and 5.8S ribosomal RNA". The stretch from base 1 to 47 matches the Rfam family "Eukaryotic small subunit ribosomal RNA", at positions 1785 to 1831 of the family's 1831-position model. Lineage: Eukaryota; Fungi. The record is from RNAcentral.
AAAGUCGUAACAAGGUAACCGUAGGUGAACCUGCGGUUGGAUCAUUACUGAUUACUAUGGGGUACGAGUUGAUUCGCAAGAGUCCUCCUCCCCAUAACUUACACCCUGUGCACUAUAUUGUAUUUUGGGCAGUUUGGUGGUACUUUAGUGUAUCCUAUUCGGCCCAAUCAAUGAAAAAGACCAUUAGAAUUCGUCUGAAAUUUUUAUUUAUAAUAAUAAACAACUUUUGACAACGGAUCUCUUGGCUCUC